RNAcentral lists this ribosomal RNA (425 nucleotides) under uncultured bacterium. Its description in RNAcentral is "partial 16S ribosomal RNA". It matches the Rfam family "Bacterial small subunit ribosomal RNA", at positions 359 to 775 of the family's 1533-position model. The record is from RNAcentral.
GAAUAUUGGACAAUGGGGGGAACCCUGAUCCAGCCAUGCCGCGUGUGUGAAGAAGGCCUUUUGGUUGUAAAGCACUUUAAGCGAGGAGGAGGCUACCGAGAUUAAUACUCUUGGACAGUGGACGUUACUCGCAGAAGAAGAACCGGCAACAUCUGUGCCAUCAGCCGCGGUAAUACAGAGGGUGAAAGCGUUAAUCGGAUUUACUGGGCGUAAAGCGCGCGUAGGUGGCCAAUUAAGUCAAAUGUGAAAUCCCCGAGCUUAACUUGGGAAUUGCAUUCGAUACUGGUUGGCUAGAGUAUGGGAGAGGAUGGUAGAAUUCCAGGUGUAGCGGUGAAGUGCGUAGAGAUCUGGAGGAAUACCGAUGGCGAAGGCAGCCAUCUGGCCUAAUACUGACACUGAGGUGCGAAAGCAUGGGGAGCAAACAG